CCUACGGGGGGCUGCAGUGAGGAAUAUUGGUCAAUGGGCUAAGGCCUGAACCAGCCAAGUCGCGUGAGGGAAGACGGUCCUAUGGAUUGUAAACCUCUUUUGUCGGGGAGCAACGAGGCCACGUCUUGCCGUAGUGAGAGUACCCGAAGAAAAAGCAUCGGCUAACUCCGUGCCAGCAGCCGCGGUAAUACGGAGGAUGCGAGCGUUAUCCGGAUUUAUUGGGUUUAAAGGGUGCGUAGGCGGAACAUUAAGUCAGCGGUAAAAUCGAGGGGCUCAACCCCUUUAAGCCGUUGAAACUGGUGGUCUUGAGUGCGCGAGAGGUAUGCGGAAUGCGUGGUGUAGCGGUGAAAUGCAUAGAUAUCACGCAGAACUCCGAUUGCGAAGGCAGCAUACCGGCGCCCGACUGACGCUGAGGCACGAAAGCGUGGGGAUCGAACAGGAUUAGAUACCCCAGUAGUC
RNAcentral lists this ribosomal RNA (459 nucleotides) under uncultured bacterium. RNAcentral describes it as "partial 16S ribosomal RNA". It matches the Rfam family "Bacterial small subunit ribosomal RNA", at positions 338 to 795 of the family's 1533-position model. The record is from RNAcentral.